CCUGCCCCUAGAGGCAUUGGAGGUAUGGCUGCUGCAUUUCACGUUCAUCAGUAGUGGCAAGAAAAAUGGCUAUGUUUAUGCUCAGUGUUCUGUCCUAUCAACAUCUGAAUGAUUAGCAGCCUAACAUU
This is a small nucleolar RNA of Meriones unguiculatus (Mongolian gerbil), 128 nucleotides long. The record is from Ensembl. Lineage: Eukaryota; Metazoa; Chordata; Mammalia; Rodentia; Muridae.